UGGGGAAUCUUGCGCAAUGGGCGAAAGCCUGACGCAGCGACGCCGCGUGGGGGAAGAAGGCUUUCGGGUUGUAAACCCCUUUCAGGAAGGACGAAGCCACUCGGGUUAAUAGCCCAGAGGGUGACGGUACUUCCAGAAGAAGCCCCGGCUAACUACGUGCCAGCAGCCGCGGUAAUACGUAGGGGGCAAGCGUUGUCCGGAUUUAUUGGGCGUAAAGAGCGUGUAGGCGGCUUGGUAGGUCCAUUGUGAAAACUCGAGGCUCAACCUCGAGACGCCGGUGGAAACCAUCAGGCUAGAGUCCGGAAGAGGAGAGUGGAAUUCCUGGUGUAGCGGUGAAAUGCGCAGAUAUCAGGAAGAACACCCGUGGCUAAGGCGGCUCUCUAGGACGGUACUGACGCUGAGACGCGAAAGCGUGGGGAGCGAACAG
This 427-nucleotide ribosomal RNA is filed under the name uncultured bacterium. Its description in RNAcentral is "bacterial SSU rRNA". It matches the Rfam family "Bacterial small subunit ribosomal RNA", at positions 355 to 775 of the family's 1533-position model. The record is from RNAcentral.